RNAcentral lists this ribosomal RNA (351 nucleotides) under uncultured bacterium. Its description in RNAcentral is "bacterial SSU rRNA". It matches the Rfam family "Bacterial small subunit ribosomal RNA", at positions 8 to 350 of the family's 1533-position model. The record is from RNAcentral.
AGAGUUUGAUCCUGGCUCAGGGUGAACGCUAGCUACAGGCUUAACACAUGCAAGUCGAGGGGAAACGACAUCGAAAGCUUGCUUUUGAUGGGCGUCGACCGGCGCACGGGUGAGUAACGCGUAUCCAACCUGCCCACCACUUGGGGAUAACCUUGCGAAAGUAAGACUAAUACCCAAUGAUAUCUCUAGAAGACAUCUGAAAGAGAUUAAAGAUUUAUCGGUGAAGGAUGGGGAUGCGUCUGAUUAGCUUGUUGGCGGGGUAACGGCCCACAAGGCGACGAUCAGUAGGGGUUCUGAGAGGAAGGUCCCCCAGUUGGAACUGAGACACGGUCCAAACUCCUACGGGAGGCA